GGCGUUUCGCUCUACAAUGCGAGGAUGCGAGUCCCCCUUGAGACUUGCGUCAUGGGCAAGCACCGACGAUCUGGGAAUGACAUCGCAUUUUAUUCACCCGCUUCUAUUUUCAGAGCGUUUUCGACAGAGCUAAAGCUACAGUCCAGGUGCAGCCGCUCGUCAAUUCUUUCGGCGCACGCUACGAGUUAAGUUCCAUUUUCAAUCCAAUUUGAUCUGAUUUCAUUCAGCGAGCGAAUCGUAUCUUUUGUCUAAAUACGUUUCCGCUGAAAUUUUCACUUUUGGGAAAAAAUUGACGUUAGUGAUACGAACUUUGGCAGAUGACCAAGUGUAUUAUGUGAACGCCUGGAGCGUUAGCUGCUCCUUCGUGCCUUUCAUUGUGUCUCAACUUGAACGCUAAUCGCGCGAGGGCCACGUAACGGCGGAUGUGCGCACGGCAAACGCGCGUGUGAUUUUCAUGCGCGGGAUCUAACGGGACCGAGUCAGAAAGCGAACGGCUUCCACGUUUCUCUUCGUCUUCGUCGUCAUUGCGCGAGGGAGUGGUUCAAGACACGCGCGCGUGCACGCGCGCAUACGUGUACAUAAGGAAAACAUUUCUCGACAUAUCAAGGAUCGAAAAAUUUCCCCUCGCUUCACAAAUAUUUCUUCAGCCCGUAAACGCCUUUCUCCAAGACGUUCCAUCAUCUUGAGAGUGGAAUCUGGAGUACCCUCAGUCUCGACGUUAAUGCUCGUCGAAAUCGCAUCAGUACACCACUCUCUCUCCUCAAAUUUUAUCCUUUGACACAUUGCUUCUGAUUAGAGCUAAGUAAUUUCGUGGAUAUUAAUAUGUAACGGAAGGCAAGAGGAUCGAGGACAGAAUUCUCGAGAUUUUCCAAUCCCGUGGUGACACUAACGAAACGGGCCACACCACCACAUUAGUGGUGGUGUAGGUUUCGGAGUACGAGGCCAAGGCUGAAUCGGGCAACGCAGAAGCGUUUCGUGUGCGGAAACGUGAGGGACGUUUACGUAAUGAAGUGCCAGGAGGAGUGGACGAGAGAGACACUCUCGUUGCGGGAUCAAUUUCGUGAGCACCGCGUGAAUUUUUGAUAAAGCAGACCAAAGUUGCUGCGAGUGUCCAAACAAGAUUCACCAUGACACGAUGAACAUAAGCUGCUAAUGCAAUCGUCAAUUAAGGAAUCCGUUUUACAUUAGUCCACAAAUUUCCUUUAUCAUCCAGUACCGGAGUCUCUUUUGCAAUAAUUAACAAUUAAGGAAGCGCACUGAGGCGAAGCUACAUUACAUGUAUCUAAGAAAUCAAUCAGAUUACCAUACAAUGAAAAGAAAACAAGUUCAGCCGAAGUGGAAUCAGGGUGACACUAAAACUCCGUAUUCCGAUCUAAAAAAACAAAGAACGCCAAGGUUCGAUAUCGCAUUGCGAGUCGGACACGCGUUGCGCAAUGAAUAUCUCGGGUGUCGGAGACGCAACGGCCGCUAAUUUUAAUUGCGACCGCCCGUCGUUUCCUUCGCCACGUCAUCGCGUUGCCCUCGUUCAAUUGACGGUGAAUUGGGGGAAAGUCACGUUGAAAACGAGACAUGGCGUGCAUCCGCUAUUAGGCGGCCAAAGACCCCGCCGCUGCCUUCCUCGCUCCGAAUACGUGUGCAUAUAGAUUGCAUCGAUAUGCACACGUAUUCCAGACGUAUCUGUGAAUAAAAUCGAUAUUCUCCCAUAGAACGCACAUCUGAGAAUCUCAGAAAGAUAUUUCCUGAGAUAUCUGAGAAAGAUAUGGUAUUGAAAUACUCAGUUGUUCGCACGUCAUCUAUCUUUUUUUUGGUAAAGAAUAACAUGCAAUUUUUAUUGUUCUCAGAACUGAAAUUGUAAUAUACAUUAAAAUGCAUAAUCUUUGAUCGAAAUAAAUCCAAAUCAAUCCUCAAUUACCAAAUUAAAAAUUAAUUCUGAAAGCAGAUUCUGGGUCUGAUAUUUUCGACAUUAUGCGCUUUUGAAGAGUUUAAUCUAAAUUCGAUCUUCAACUAUCAAAAUAAAAAUUAAUUCUGGGAGUAGAUUCAGGGCUUGAUAAUUCUCUCGAUUCUAUGCGUUGUGAAAAGGCAUUCACUUUGCCCGCUGCCUCGUGGUAAAACGUCAACAAUCGUGUUAACUAUUUGUCGAAUUUUUGCAAGCGCACAGGCACGCGAUGCAAUCUCAUGGAUAUAAUUCUCGGGGCAACGAAGUCGUAGGCUUAUAGAUUAUGAAAGAAAACCAGAAACUCCCCUAUAUCAAGACCCACCGUCUUUUACCAGCAUUCAUUGUUAACCGGCAUCGAUUGCAAUUGUUUUCGAAGGCUGGCCUUAAUAAUGCAUCCACCCACCCGACUCCAUAGAGGAAGUUGCGGAACUUUUCCUUAGGCCGUUCGGAAGUUGGAAAUCGCAAACGUAUGGAAUCACCUUGUGCGUCUAAAUAAUUUCUGCUGCCUUAUCGCAGAAAUGUGCGGCUGAAAGUGUGUUACGUUGGCGAACUGUGUCAGGAAAAUGAAUAACUGGAAUGGGACCGCACACGGAGCGGCCGAUAACAGCGGAGCUAAAAGCGGGACGAAACUCGCGAAACUGCGUUAUAUUAUUCAGGCUACAGGCUUUCAGGCGUAUAAAUAGAAACUGAAAUAUUAUUGCAUAAGCGUAAUUAAAUAACGUCCCGUUUUAAAAAGAGGAGAAACAAAACGGGAGAGAUACGAGAAAGAUACGAGAGACCCAUUUCUUCUUUUUCUCGACUCUAUAAUCGUCGAGACCACUGCUCUCUCGGUCUUAAUGUUACACAUUAUUUUAAGCAUCUUUCACAUCGGUUUUCAAUUCUUACGGUGCUGUUCGUUGGAGUAAAUGCCUCGACUAAAAUACCGUCUGCACACAACUGCGCAUUGCGCGAUUCGCAUAUGCGUCACGUAUGUGCCUGCCGCCUAGAAAGUCGCGUAUGCAAAUGCACGCGGACAGACGCGCGUGCUCAUAAAUACGUGCGAACGGUUCGACUUCGCGGGAACAAAAAGUCAUCGUUUUAUUAGACGAGAAGAGUUAGCCAAGGGGAAUCUGCAAGCCACGUGCAGUCUUUGUUUUACAACUUUCUAGUACGGAGGGUUCUCGCGUUCAUUGACGCGGACUCAUGUCCGGCUGUCACGAUGACCGCGCAUCGCGAUCAAUUGGAGAACGCUGAACCUUCCUCGAUGUAAUGCACGGGCAGUAAACCUACAAUCGACAUUAAAAUAUAAUUAUUGCACGUGCUUCCAGUCUCUAUGACAAUGAAUUCGUUUGCAAAAUGCAUUCAUCUUAUUGAAAAAAUAAUAGUAAGCCGUUAACUUACGUUUAACUUACUCGCGGAUUCAGUUAAACGUAAAAUUGCCGGUACAGCUCGCAAUUACAAUCAUUACUCGGCCUUCGCAAACGCUUUGUGUGAAUGGAUACGGUCCCUGGACGUUUACGACACUGCACGUGGCGCAGUCCGUCGUGGAUACACGUGGGCACGAAGGGCGCCCACACGUCGUGGAUUCUCGCGCGGCCUUCGACUCUCGACUGCCUGCUACGGGUGUAUUAACGUUUCGCGCAACUGCCUCUUUCUUUCUCCACACGCCCAGUGCUUGAGCGAUCUACGCAAUUGACGCCGCAAUUUCGCGGGUUCAGCGAUCCCGGAGAAAAUUGCGAUAAGAUGUCGGUUUAUUCUACCGCUAAUUCUCGAGACUCUCUCAGGAAAGGUAUCCCACUUUUAGUUUUGCUUUUAGCCGACUUUACUCCUAAUCGGAUAUAGGCUUCCAGAACGAAACUCGGUGAACGAGACGAUCCACUUUCAAGCUGUCGCACGGAUUAAAAGCCACUCCUCAUGCGGUGAAGCCGCUUCCCCUAUUAUAUGCCAAGAUCUUUCACCCAAAAUAGGGUGCCGAAGUAGGUCAAACACAACGACGAGGGAUGGCUGACGAAGGGUCAGCAGCUUCUGGACAGUCAUCGAUAACUGAGCAUUGUAUUCUACUGAUUAAAACUAAAACAUAAAUUGUUCUUAUUUUGUAAAAAUUGUAUACGCACACGUGUGCUGCAAUUUAGAGAGAUAAUAAAGAAAUAACUCUGCUGUGUUUUUUGUACAAUGAUUAU
Long non-coding RNA from Ooceraea biroi (clonal raider ant), 4095 nucleotides. RefSeq lists it as uncharacterized. The record is from RefSeq and is a predicted model, not a curated record. NCBI's taxonomy places the organism in Eukaryota, Metazoa, Arthropoda, Insecta, Hymenoptera, Formicidae.